Picea glauca (white spruce) is the source of this 119-nucleotide non-coding RNA. The record is from Rfam. NCBI's taxonomy places the organism in Eukaryota, Viridiplantae, Streptophyta, Pinopsida, Pinales, Pinaceae.
CAUGUAAUGCCUAUAGAAUUAAUGCACUGGAUCCCAUUAGAAAUCUAUAGUUGAGUGUGUUUGGGCUAGAGUAGUAUUGGGAUGGGUGAGCUCCUGGGAAGUCUUAAUGUUUUACAUGC